GGAGUCUGGGCCGUAUCUCAGUCCCAAUGUGCCCGGUCGCCCUCUGAGGCCGGGUACCCGUCGUAGCCCCUGGUGGUCCUUUGCACCGCCAGCCAGCUGAUGGGACGCAGGCCGCUCCCCGUGCGGAGCCGUAGCUCCUUUCCUCCCAUGUUUCUGAUCCAUGGGACCGUAUCCGGUAUCACUCCGUGUUUCCACGGGCUGUCCCCCGACACAGGGGUGCGUCACCCACGCGUUACUCACCAGUCCGCCGCUCUCAGAAGUAGCAAGCUACUUCUUCCCGCUCGACUUGCAUGCUUAAGACGCGCCGC
This 308-nucleotide ribosomal RNA is filed under the name uncultured Treponema sp. RNAcentral's name for it is "partial 16S ribosomal RNA". The record is from RNAcentral. Lineage: Bacteria; Pseudomonadati; Spirochaetota; Spirochaetia; Treponematales; Treponemataceae.